RNAcentral lists this unclassified non-coding RNA (240 nucleotides) under soil metagenome. RNAcentral's name for it is "partial contains 5.8S ribosomal RNA, internal transcribed spacer 2, and large subunit ribosomal RNA". The record is from RNAcentral.
AACCAUAGAAACCUGCGGAGUACCUGCGGAAGGAUCAUUACAGAGUUGCAAAACUCCCUAAACCAUUGUGAACGUUACCUAAACCGUUGCUUCGGCGGGCGGCCCGGGUCCUUCCCGGCGCCCAUCGGCCCUCGCGGGCGCCCGCCGGAGGUAAACCAAACUGUUGCAUUGUAUGGCCUCUCUGAGUCUUCUGUACUGAAUAAGUCAAAACUUUUAACAACGGAUCUCAGAUCGGAAGAG